CCUACGUGCUGCAGCAGUGGGGAAUAUUGGACAAUGGGCGAAAGCCUGAUCCAGCCAUGCCGCGUGUGUGAAGAAGGCCUUCGGGUUGUAAAGCACUUUCAGUGGGGAAGAAAGCCUUGGGGCUAAUACCCUCGAGGAAGGACAUCACCCACAGAAGAAGCACCGGCUAACUCCGUGCCAGCAGCCGCGGUAAUACGGAGGGUGCGAGCGUUAAUCGGAAUUACUGGGCGUAAAGCGCGCGUAGGCGGUCUGAUAAGCCGGUUGUGAAAGCCCCGGGCUCAACCUGGGAACGGCAUCCGGAACUGUCAGGCUAGAGUGCAGGAGAGGAAGGUAGAAUUCCCGGUGUAGCGGUGAAAUGCGUAGAGAUCGGGAGGAAUACCAGUGGCGAAGGCGGCCUUCUGGACUGACACUGACGCUGAGGUGCGAAAGCGUGGGUAGCAAACAGGAUUAGAUACCCCAGUAGUC
RNAcentral lists this ribosomal RNA (465 nucleotides) under Vreelandella stevensii. RNAcentral's name for it is "partial 16S ribosomal RNA". It matches the Rfam family "Bacterial small subunit ribosomal RNA", at positions 338 to 795 of the family's 1533-position model. The record is from RNAcentral. Lineage: Bacteria; Pseudomonadati; Pseudomonadota; Gammaproteobacteria; Oceanospirillales; Halomonadaceae.